AAUCCGGCACAGUAAUAGGUUGUCGGUCAAACAAAGAGGUCGCUAGUUCGUUCGUGCCUACAUUUACUGCCCUUCUUUGACAAUCAGCGAUUUCCUGACUGGAUGACCUUCUUUCGUAUCGCCAUCUCCUCAGCUUGGUGGACUAACUUUUGGUUCUUCGUAUGAUUGUAACCAUUGAUCUUUUGAUCCAUAUGUAGACAAGCCAUCGCUAACAAAAAUCUGGGAAAAUGGACAGUGUUUGUUGUGAUUGAAAACCUGGGAAGUGGAGGUAGUGUCAGGCCUAGUCCUACUACUGUUAAUGUAUUUAUAUGGUGUAUUGAAACUUAGACCAUUAAGUGCACUAUACAUAAAUAUUAGUUAAUUAUACUAGUUAAUAAAUUGACUAUUAACUGGGUAUCCUAAGUAGCCUGCCAAGUUUUAAGAGGACAUCAUGAAGAAUCAAAGUAAAUUUUUAUUUAUUAUUUUUUUUACAUAUCUUGCUUGAAAUUUGUGCCACUAUUAAGAUUACAAUCAAAACCAUGCUUUUAAGAUUAUAAUUUUACACACAAUCUAACCAAAAGAUAUUAAAUAGAACUAGCUCUUGUCAUUACUGUUAACUUUUCAAUCAGACUAUUAUGCUUUAUGAAAACAAAUUGAAGUUAAAAAUAAAACAAAAUUUGUUUUUUAACUUCAAAAUUUUUCCUUAAAUUUUUGUGCACCAAAGUCAGAUAUUUAGCAAAUUCCUAUUGUCUAAUACUUAGAUUUAAGAAUUGAAGAAUGUAAACAAAAAGCUAGGAUUUAAUCAGAAUUUGACUUCAUUAAUAAAUUAUAAUAAUUUUUUCAUGCUAGAGAAGAUUGAAUAUCUAAAAAGUAACUUUAACUUUACAAUUGUUUAAUAAUCUUAUUAUUUCUAUGUUCCACUAUAUUACUAAACAUUUAUUGUUAACUGAAGAAUUCUUAAUUUUAUAUUUUCUGAGAGAUUUAUUCUUGUUUUAAUAAAAACUUUCAUACUUUGCUGUAAAUUUUAAAAUCAAGUAAUUGAUGAUGAUGCUAUCAGCACAAGCAUUUUUUUUGUUAGCAUCU
Molecule: unclassified non-coding RNA, 1062 nt
Filed under: Centruroides sculpturatus (bark scorpion)
Lineage: Eukaryota; Metazoa; Arthropoda; Arachnida; Scorpiones; Buthidae
Description: b-box type zinc finger protein ncl-1-like, transcript variant X11
Source: RNAcentral